UUGUAGCUGGCCUUUUGGGGCGUGGGGGGGGCUGGACCUUUAAUCCGCACACACCUGGGAACCUAAUGGAAAGGCCCGGGGAGAAAGGGGCCCUACGUCUUAUCACCAGCCCCCAUGUGGGGUAGAAUGGGGAUUGAUGUCCUCGCCUUAGAAAAGCGUUGAUAAAAAAAACUUAUACAACUUUCAACAACGGAUCUCUUGGGUCUCGCAUCGAUGAAAAACGCAGCGAAAUGCGAUAGGUAAGGUGAAUUGCAGAUUUUCAGUGAAUCAUCGAAUCUUUGAGGGCACCUUGGGCUCCUUGGUAUUCCGAGGAGCAUGCCUGUUUGAGUGUCAUUAAAUUCUCAACUCCCUGAUUGAUUUCUCGGAGCUUGGGGUGGAGUGUGCUGGCGAAAGUCGGCUCCUCUGAAAUGCAUCAGCGGAAUUCAAUCUUUUGGCUUCUGGAUGUCAGUGUGAUAAUGAUGUUGCGCUGUCGUCCGAGGCUCAAAGGUCCGCUUACAAUGGUCUUUGGACAACUUUAUAUCAAAUUUGACCUCAAAUCACGUAGGACUACCCGCUG
RNAcentral lists this ribosomal RNA (556 nucleotides) under Piloderma sp. 10 DL-2015. RNAcentral describes it as "eukaryotic LSU rRNA". The stretch from base 179 to 333 matches the Rfam family "5.8S ribosomal RNA". Lineage: Eukaryota; Fungi; Basidiomycota; Agaricomycetes; Atheliales; Atheliaceae. The record is from RNAcentral.